This 449-nucleotide ribosomal RNA is filed under the name uncultured bacterium. RNAcentral's name for it is "partial 16S ribosomal RNA". It matches the Rfam family "Bacterial small subunit ribosomal RNA", at positions 29 to 523 of the family's 1533-position model. The record is from RNAcentral.
AACGAACGCUGGCGGCAUGCCUAACACAUGCAAGUCGAACGAGAUCUUCGGGUCUAGUGGCGCACGGGUGCGUAACGCGUGGGAAUCUGCCCUUUGGUUCGGAAUAACAGUUGGAAACGACUGCUAAUACCGGAUGAUGACGAGAGUCCAAAGAUUUAUCGCCAGAGGAUGAGCCCGCGUAGGAUUAGCUAGUUGGUGUGGUAAAGGCGCACCAAGGCGACGAUCCUUAGCUGGUCUGAGAGGAUGAUCAGCCACACUGGGACUGAGACACGGCCCAGACUCCUACGGGAGGCAGCAGUGGGGAAUAUUGGACAAUGGGCGAAAGCCUGAUCCAGCAAUGCCGCGUGAGUGAUGAAGGCCUUAGGGUUGUAAAGCUCCUUUACCCGGGAUGAUAAUGACAGUACCGGGAGAAUAAGCUCCGGCUAACUACGUGCCAGCCGCCGCCGUAA